This 504-nucleotide ribosomal RNA is filed under the name uncultured bacterium. RNAcentral describes it as "partial 16S ribosomal RNA". It matches the Rfam family "Bacterial small subunit ribosomal RNA", at positions 30 to 523 of the family's 1533-position model. The record is from RNAcentral.
AUUGAACGCUGGCGGCAGGCCUAACACAUGCAAGUCGAACGGUAGCACAGAGAGCUUGCUCUCGGGUGACGAGUGGCGGACGGGUGAGUAACGUCUGGGAAACUGCCCGAUGGAGGGGGAUAACUACUGGAAACGGUAGCUAAUACCGCAUAACGUCGCAAAACCAAAGUGGGGGACCUUCGGGCCUCACACCAUCGGAUGUGCCCAGAUGGGAUUAGCUAGUAGGUGGGGUAAUGGCUCACCUAGGCGACAAUCCCUAGCUGGUCUGAGAGGAUGACCAGCCACACUGGAACUGAGACACGGUCCAGACGCCGACGGGAGGCAGCAGUGGGGAAUAUUGCACAAUGGGCGCAAGCCUGAUGCAGCCAUGCCGCGUGUAUGAAGAAGGCCUUCGGGUUGUAAAGUACUUUCAGCGGGGAGGAAGGCGGUGAAGUUAAUAACUUCACCGAUUGACGUUACCCAAAGAAUAAGCACCGGCUAACUCUGUGCCAGCAGCCGCCGCAG